UGAGGAAGCCCGAUGUCCAAACAUC
Molecule: non-coding RNA, 25 nt
Filed under: Rattus norvegicus (Norway rat)
Lineage: Eukaryota; Metazoa; Chordata; Mammalia; Rodentia; Muridae
Source: RNAcentral